This 253-nucleotide ribosomal RNA is filed under the name uncultured bacterium. RNAcentral's name for it is "partial 16S ribosomal RNA". It matches the Rfam family "Bacterial small subunit ribosomal RNA", at positions 524 to 776 of the family's 1533-position model. The record is from RNAcentral.
UACGUAGGGUGCGAGCGUUAAUCGGAAUUACUGGGCGUAAAGCGUGCGCAGGCGGUUCGUUAAGUCCGAUGUGAAAGCCCCGAGCUUAACUUGGGAAUGGCAUUGGAAACUGGCGGGCUGGAGUGUGGCAGAGGGGGGUGGAAUUCCACGUGUAGCAGUGAAAUGCGUAGAUAUCGGGAGGAACACCUGUGGCGAAAGCGGCGCACUGGACCACAACUGACGCUGAGGCGCGAAAGCUAGGGGAGCAAACAGG